AAAUGGGUUAACUCUGCCCCCUUUUUGAUCUGAAAGCUGUCCUUGUAAAACAACUGGAAAUUCUGUAAGAAUUGCAUCUCCUGCAACUGUUUUCUUCAUGGUCCCUUCAAAGAGUAUGUGACAUCUUAAAUGUGGGGAACAGAACUUCUACUCCAUGAAGCUGUGAUCUCGUGGGUGACAGGACUGGGAGACAUAUGUAGUAGGAGAAUCAACUGUAGGCAAACAUCACUCAGGGCUGUUUUCAAGGACACCCAAGGAUCAAGGUCCCGUGUCAUUCCCAUGAGUUCCACACUGCUGCUUCAUCAUCCCUGGUGCUGGAAAGCAGGCCCUCAAUUUCACCUGGAUAUUUCUGUCAUUUAAAGACCAUCAUUUCUUGCCCUAUCCCAGAACAUCAUUGUGUAUGUAUGCUCUGCCUGCUUUAAUGUAGUGUUUGCUUUUCAGAGAGAGCACAGAAGCAAAGGAAGCUAAGUUGUGCCUUGGAAAGUGGCUGGCAAGCCUUUCUGGCUAAGCAAGGUUUUGACCGGAAGACUAAAAACUCAGCUUAUAUUGUACCUGUAUGGCUUUAAAGCCAGGUGUAUUGGCUGCUAGAAUGUAAUGAGUGGAUACCACAACAGGAAUAUGAGAAGAUUUAUUGCUAAGACCGUGAGGUGGUGGAGUCUGUGCUUGUGAUCUGUCGUGUGGCAAGAGCAAGAAACAGCAGUAACCAAGACCUUGUUCAGGUUGCCAUCGACACUCGGUACUGCUAUGUACCUUCUGCAUGGAGACUGCAGAAACCUUGCGAAGCUCCAUGGUUGCUGCAAAGCUGAACUGCGAGUCUGCAUGGUGUGCAUGGUGGUGCCACUAGAUGUCCCUUGUCACCCAAGUGAUGUUGGUGGCUCAUCCCCAGUGCUAUAUGAUGUAGCACUGUAAAGAAAUCAGUGUUUAAAGCAUUCGAUAUAGAGAGAUGUUGUGGCUGUCUCAAAAAGAAGACUUGUGUUAUCCUCAGAAAGCUGACAUCUUGGCGAGGACAUCUGUGCCACUCAGCAUGCCUAUGCCCUUGCACAGCUUCACCUGGGCUUCUGUGGAGUGAUUCCUGCUCGCCCUUGUCCCCCAUGGUGCUCUGUGCACCUACCAUUGCUGUAUGAGUAGGGGGAUGCGCCUGUCCCCAUGCUGCCCUGAAAGCUUCUGUGCCGUGUUAUCAGCCCCAGGAUGUGUCGCUGCAGUGUGUGAUCGCGCAGACCAUGCUGUUGAGUAUUCAGAGUCACAUACGCUCGCCUGAAUGACUGAAAUGAAGUAUUUGCUGCUUUCUACUUCAUUUAAACCUGCGGGAGCUGGUAGUGCUCAUCCUCCCCACACACUGAGGUAUCCACACGUGCCACUUGCCAGCCUGGGGCUUCUUCCCCAAGCAAUGGCUGAGCAAAUCUCUUAAUAACAGAGCAACUACUCGCAGAUUAUUGUGAUCAUAAUUUGGCUGACAUAGCCUUUAUUACUAAUGGCAAUGCUGGAAAUGGAAAACCCAGCUUGAUGCUCAGCUCCCUGCUGGAAAGUAAUAAAAUAAAGAGGAACAAAAUCAGUGAGUGUAUUUGCUACCAAACCUUUGAAAAACACAAAAGUGGAACCCUGCCAAUGCUCUUGCUGGCGGUUUUUCAGACCAGAGCCUCUCUCCAAGCUUUUGGAGCGCCGCUACCAUCAGCUGCUCUAACACCAGCAUGAAGUGUGAAGGUACCAUCUCUCUUCACAGUGGCUCUGCAGAUAGCAGUGCUGCCCAUUUGUAUGACCCAAGAGGCUGUGCAACGCUUUAAGGCUUAAAUUCUGCAUCUCAGCAGCCAAAAUGUGUGGCUAAUAAAUCCCGAACGCUGACAAAGGGUGCGUAGGAUCGGGAAUCUCAGCCCACAGGAUGAACUGGGAAGUGGAAGGUGGAGAUGAUGGCUGAAGUCUGCCAAGAUUCAGAGGAGCACAGCAGCGUGCCAGACCCUCUCUGGAUGUGAGCACUGCGAGAAGAUGGAUCAGAUGAAUAUCUCACAGUUGGUGGAUGAGAUCCCUAGAACUACGAUGGAGCGUUCAAGUUAUUACAAAUUCUUCCUUCCUCCUCAUCUUUGAUGACUGCCUUCUUUGGACGACACAGUGAGCUGCCUGAUUUUGUCACAUCUAUGUGAAGAGCAUUUCCCUAGAGUGCAAUGUGAGCCCAGUUCUUUGCUCUGCUGCAACAUAUCCUAAGAGAAAAAAAGAUAGAAGAAUGAAAACAAGCUGGAAAGAGACAAAUUCCAUCUCAAUACCUGUUUUUCCUCAGCAGAAUUAGAACUGCAUAUUAGCACAGAUUUAUGCUACUGGAACUAAUGGAGUGCCACUCCUAGUCAUGUGUCGUCAUCCUCUGAGUGAAACACUCCCAGAAGAGGGUUGCUGAUGAGCACUGGUGAGAAACAUGAACUGAGGCUUUGCUUCUUGACUGGUGGGACAGGUAAUCAGGUAGAUGAAUACUCCAGACAUAAGUUCAUCUGCUGUGUCUCCUCCAGCUUCUGACCAUCUGUGUUCUUUGCCUUCCCCACUUCAUCUCAGACCCGGUCUCCUCAUGUAGCAAGUCA
RNAcentral lists this long non-coding RNA (2561 nucleotides) under Gallus gallus (chicken). RNAcentral's name for it is "lncRNA (ENSGALG00010015841.1)". The record is from RNAcentral. Lineage: Eukaryota; Metazoa; Chordata; Aves; Galliformes; Phasianidae.